UAAGCUAGUCCUUAGUUACCAAAAUAGG
This 28-nucleotide non-coding RNA is filed under the name Mus musculus (house mouse). The record is from RNAcentral. Lineage: Eukaryota; Metazoa; Chordata; Mammalia; Rodentia; Muridae.